GAUGAACGCUAGCGGCAGGCCUAAUACAUGCAAGACGAACGGUAAGUUGAGUAGCAAUACUUAGCCAAGAGUGUCGUACGGGUGCGUAACACGUAUGCAACCUACCCUAUACAGGAGGAUAGCCUAGGGAAACCUGGAUUAACCCUUCAUAGUAUUAUUGGAUGGCAUCAUUUGAUAAUUAAAACUGAGGUGGUAUAGGAUGGGCAUGCGUCUGAUUAGUUAGUUGGCGGGGUAAUGGCCCACCAAGACGAUGAUCAGUAGGGGUUCUGAGAGGAAGAUCCCCCACACUGGCACUGAGAUACGGGCCAGACUCCUACGGGAGCAGCAGUAGGGAAUAUUGGUCAAUGGAUGCAAGUCUGAACCAGCCAUGCCGCGUGCAGGAAGAUGGGCCUUCUGGGGUUGUAAAACUGCUUUUGCCAGGGGAUAAAAUUUCCAUGCGUGGAAAACUGAAGGUACCUGGUGAAUAAGCCACGGCUAACUACGUGCCAGCAGCCGCGGUAAUC
This 503-nucleotide ribosomal RNA is filed under the name uncultured bacterium. RNAcentral's name for it is "bacterial SSU rRNA". It matches the Rfam family "Bacterial small subunit ribosomal RNA", at positions 28 to 525 of the family's 1533-position model. The record is from RNAcentral.